RNAcentral lists this ribosomal RNA (337 nucleotides) under Salmonella enterica. Its description in RNAcentral is "partial 23S ribosomal RNA". It matches the Rfam family "Bacterial large subunit ribosomal RNA", at positions 904 to 1238 of the family's 2925-position model. The record is from RNAcentral. Lineage: Bacteria; Pseudomonadati; Pseudomonadota; Gammaproteobacteria; Enterobacterales; Enterobacteriaceae.
AGAGCACUGUUUCGGCCAGGGGGCCAUCCCGGCUUACCAAUCCGAUGCAAACUGCGAAUACCGGAGAAUGUUAUCACGGGAGACACACGGCGGGUGCUAACGUCCGUCGUGAAGAGGGAAACAACCCAGACCGCCAGCUAAGGUCCCAAAGUCAUGGUUAAGUGGGAAACGAUGUGGGAAGGCCCAGACAGCCAGGAUGUUGGCUUAGAAGCAGCCAUCAUUUAAAGAAAGCGUAAUAGCUCACUGGUCGAGUCGGCCUGCGCGGAAGAUGUAACGGGGCUAAACCAUGCACCGAAGCUGCGGCAGCGACACUGAUGUGUUGUUGGGUAGGGGAGCG